GGGUGGCANGNGGCGGACGGGUGAGGAAUACAUGGGAAUCUACCCUGUCGUGGGGGAUAACGUAGGGAAACUUACGCUAAUACCGCAUACGACCGAGAGGUGAAAACGGCGGACCGCAAGGCGUCGCGCGGCUGGAUGAGCCCAUGUCGUAUUAGCUAGUUGGCGGGGUAAAGGCCCACCAAGGCGACGAUCCGUAGCUGGUCUGAGAGGAUGAUCAGCCACACUGGAACUGAGACACGGUCCAGACUCCUACGGGAGGCAGCAGUGGGGAAUAUUGGACAAUGGGCGCAAGCCUGAUCCAGCAAUGCCGCGUGGGUGAAGAAGGCCUUCGGGUUGUAAAGCCCUUUUGUACGGGAAGAAUCCUGUCGGUUAAUACCCGGCGGGGAUGACGGUACCGUAAGAAUAAGCACCGGCUAACUUCGUGCCAGCAGCCGCGGUAAUACGAAAGGGUGCAAGCGUUAAUCGGGAAUUACUGGGCGUAAAGCGUGCGUAAGCCGNUUGGCUAANUCAGAUGUGAAAGCCCUGGNCUCAACCUGGGAAUGGCAUUUGAACUGGCUGGCUAAAGUGUGGUAAAGAUG
Molecule: ribosomal RNA, 578 nt
Filed under: uncultured Xanthomonas sp.
Lineage: Bacteria; Pseudomonadati; Pseudomonadota; Gammaproteobacteria; Lysobacterales; Lysobacteraceae
Description: bacterial SSU rRNA
Rfam family: Bacterial small subunit ribosomal RNA
Source: RNAcentral